GGACAAAAAGAAAACCCCCGACGCUCCGGGGCAGCCCGGUUCAGCCCGGUUCACCGCUGCCCGCAAGCUCCAGGCCAGAUUGUUCCAUUUUCAGUGCUGGAUCCAUUAACUGGAGGCUCAACAAUCAGUCUUGGCUCUAUCAGUGCAUCCCAACUUUCAGUUAUCUGAAAACAAAAGACAAACAAUACUCAGCAUGCACAAGCUGUACAGGAAAUGCAAUUUCUCUUUCAUUAUGCUUCAUCUCAGCCUGGACAACAGCACUACUGGACAAAGGUCACAGAUCCUUCCUGUGAUUCUUCAGUCUUCCACCUCAGCCUGCCUGAAAUCCCAGGAAAUGAAACCACAAUAGAGAUGACUUACUGACUGGAUAAACCUCAUUUUGUAUAUACCUGUGAGCAUGCAAGUGUCAGAACUUCUACAUUAUAACUUUUGAGAAGGAACCCAAAGAAACUGGGAAUACUCC
Molecule: long non-coding RNA, 463 nt
Organism: Calypte anna (Anna's hummingbird)
Lineage: Eukaryota; Metazoa; Chordata; Aves; Apodiformes; Trochilidae
Exons: 3
Source: RefSeq, a predicted model, not a curated record